Molecule: long non-coding RNA, 431 nt
Filed under: Gallus gallus (chicken)
Lineage: Eukaryota; Metazoa; Chordata; Aves; Galliformes; Phasianidae
Source: RNAcentral
GAACAUUUUCCUGCAUUCUCCUGCUUGCUGCAGACGUUACUCCAGAUGUACCUGCAUUCUCAUGAACUGGAAAAAGUGAAAAAGAUGAAGCAUCCCCAGGAUUGCCUGCGCUAUCUUCUAGGAAAGGACUCUUCUGCAAAUCUGCGUGCUUCUCUUCAUUUGCCUCCUCACAACAGUUUGCAUCCUUUGAACUAGCAACCAAGUCAGGGUCUGAAAGAACUACCUUUGGACUUUCUUUCUCUCUAUAUUCACCAUUUUCUUCAGUUUUCUUCUCCUCCUCUCCAAAAUCACUCUCAUAGAAAGUGUGAUCCACUUCACCAUCUGACGUGUCUUCAAAUUGGUCCAUACUUACUGAAGUGCUUCAGGCAGACAGAAGAGCCGGUUACCACUCCGCACCGCCUCCAACCGGACCCGCAGCCCCUUCUCAGCUA